GAUAUGGGUUAUAUUGAUGGAGGAAGCAUUCUGGUGGCUCUACCACAAAUAUUUGAUCUGGUGGCUUUGCCACAAAUAUCUGUUUCUAGUGGCUCUGCCACAAUAUCUGUAUCUGGUGAUUCUAUCACAAUAUCUGUUCUGGUAGCCAUGCUGCAAAUUUUGUGACGUGUAGCGGUUGGGUAGGUCGAGUAGUCUCGCC
This 199-nucleotide long non-coding RNA is filed under the name Gossypium barbadense (sea-island cotton). RNAcentral describes it as "long non-coding RNA (GBAR_LNC002470)". Lineage: Eukaryota; Viridiplantae; Streptophyta; Magnoliopsida; Malvales; Malvaceae. The record is from RNAcentral.